AGGACGAACGCUGGCGGCGCGCUUAACACAUGCAAGUCAAACGGGUGUCCUUCGGGGCAUCAGUGGCGGACGGGUGCGUAACACGUAAGCGACCUGCCUUCAGGUGGGGGAUAACCCCGGGAAACCGGGGCUAAUACCGCAUGUGCUCUUGGGGCUGCAUGGCUUUGAGAGGAAAGCUCCCUUAAAGGAGCGCUUGAAGAGGGGCUUGCGGCGUAUCAGCUAGUUGGCGAGGUAACGGCUCACCAAGGCAAUGACGCGUAGGGGGUCUGAGAGGACGGCCCCCACAUUGGGACUGAGAUACGGCCCAGACUCCUACGGGAGGCAGCAGUGGGGAAUCUUGCGCAAUGGACCGAAAGGC
Molecule: ribosomal RNA, 358 nt
Filed under: uncultured soil bacterium
Lineage: Bacteria
Description: bacterial SSU rRNA
Rfam family: Bacterial small subunit ribosomal RNA
Source: RNAcentral